GAAAUGCGAUAAGUAGUGUGAAUUGCAGAAUUCAGUGAAUCAUCGAAUCUUUGAACGCACAUUGCGCCCCUCGGUAUUCCGAAGGGCAUGCCUGUUCGAGCGUCAUCUACACCCUCAAGCUCUGCUUGGUGUUGGGCGUCUGUCCCGCCUCCCGCGCGUGGACUCGCCCCAAAGUGAUUGGCAGCCGGCGUACUGGUCCCGGAGCGCAGCACAUGUCGCGCAAACGAGUGCCUUGGUACGGCGGCGUCCAUAAGCCCCUCUCUCACGCUCUUGACCUCGGAUCAGGUAGGGAUACCCGCUGAACUUAAGC
This 310-nucleotide unclassified non-coding RNA is filed under the name plant metagenome. Its description in RNAcentral is "partial contains 5.8S ribosomal RNA, internal transcribed spacer 2, and large subunit ribosomal RNA". The stretch from base 1 to 105 matches the Rfam family "5.8S ribosomal RNA", at positions 50 to 154 of the family's 154-position model. The record is from RNAcentral.